AAAAAAAUAAUAAACUCUCCUCCCUUAUCUCCUGUGACAAAACAUUGCUGUGCCCCUCUUUUCCAGUAUUUUCUUAUGAAAAAUUUAAACCUACAGAGAUGUUGAAAGCACUGUACAGUGAAAGCUCAUCUACCUAAAUUCUACAAAAUUAAUAUAUAUAUAUGUGUGUGUGUGUGUGUGUGUGUGUGCAUAUAUAAAAAUCAUCAUCUGUAAAACAAUUGUAUGUAUAUAGGAAUAAUUCCAUAUAUUAAACAAUUAUGUGUUUGUCUUUAGCCCAUCAUUCUUAUUUUUUGAUGCAUUCCAAAGAAUGUUGCAGCAACAGUACAUUUUACCCUUAACACUCAGCUUACGUGUCACUAGAGUUUAGUGUUUGUUACAGCAUUUGGGGGGUGGGGAAUUCAUAUGCUGUGAAAUGCACUAAAGUGUCUUCAGAUGAUGAUUUGUGACGUGCAUAUCUUCAUGAAAUACGAGUCUCCAUCAAGAUGUAGGACAAUUCCUUCACUCCAGAAAGUUUCCUCUGGCCCUGUUUCAGUCAGUCCCUGCCCCACUCCACUGACUACCACUGUUCUGAAAUUUUGUACUAUAGAUUAGAUUUGCCUAUUCUACAGUUUUAUGUAAAUGAAAUUAUAUGUGCUCCUGUGAGAGAUUGUUCUGUGUGGUUGCAGUAUUCCAUUACCUAGAUGGAUUAGUUUAUUGAUCCUUUCUUCUGACGUUCGACACCUAGGCUCUUGUUAGUUUUUAGUUAUUGUGAAUAAGGUUCUUAUGAAUGUUCUUAUAAAAGUAUUUUUGUGGACAUCUGUUUAUGGGGUUAUUUGUUUAGUUUUAUAGGAAUCGGCCAGACCUUUAUGUAGUUGUGUGAUUCCACACUCCUGUUAAUAAUAGUGUGUGAGGGGGGCACCUGGGUGGCUCAGUUGGUUAAGUGUCCGACUUCGGCUCAGGUCAUGAUCUCACGGUUCGUGGGUUUGAGCCCCGCAUCGGGCCUGGUCUGACAGCUCAGAGCCUGGAGCCUGCUUCAGAUUCUGUGUCUCCCUCUCUCUCUGCCCCUCCCCCACUCGCGCUCUGUCUCCCUCUGUCUCAAAAAUAAAUAAACGUUAAAAAAAAAUAGUGUGUGAGGGUUUCAGUUGUAUCCUUAACAUUUGGUGGUAUUGAAUUAAAAAAAAAUUGAAAUGAAGCUUAAAAUAGCAAUAAGAAUGUUCAUUAUGUUACCAUGCAGUGUGAUUGUUAGCCCCAUUUUUUAAGUUUAUUUAUUUAUUUUGGGGGGGGGGGGAGGAAUCCUAAGCAGGCUCCGCACUGUCUGCAGGGAGUCCGAUGUGGGGCUAGAACUCACCAACUGCGAGAUCGUGACCUGAGCCACCCAAGAGCCUCACUUGGUUCUUUUUAUAUGUUGGAUGGAUUUGCAAAAUUUUUCUUAAGGAUUUUUCCAUCUAUGUUCAUGAGUGACAUGGUCUGUAAUAUCUUUUGUCUGGUUUUGGUGUCAGGGUAAUGCUGGCCUUGUGGAAUGAACUGGGAAUUGUUUCUUCCUUUUUAAGAACUUAGUGUAGAAUUGAUAAUAUUUUUUCUGUAAAUGCUUAGAAUUCCCAACGAAGCCAUCGGGAGUUGGAGUUUUAUUUGUGGGAAGGUUUUUAACUUUGAAUUCAAUUUCUUGACUAGAUAUCAAGUUAUCAUCUCUUUCUCUUUCUCCUUUUUUUUUUUUUUUUUUUUGAACCAGCUUUGGUGGUCUUUUUUCAAGGAAUUUAUCCAUUUCAACUUAAGUUGUCCUAUUUAUCGACAUAAAGUUGUUCAUAUGAUUUCUUAUCUGUAGGAGCCGUGGUGAUCUUGUUUUUUAGGCCUUUGUUUUCUUAGUACCUAACACCAUAAAUGUACCUUGAGAGCAUUGCAGAAGUAUCCUUCACAUUUGAUUUACCGUGUUUCUACGUUCAUUCAGUUUUGAAAUGCUGUCUAAUUUUGUUCAUGAUUUCUUCUUUGAUCCAUGAAUUAAAAGGGUGUUUAAUUUCUAGAAUUUGGGGAUUUUCUAGAUUAUUUUUUGUUACAGAUUUCUGUUAAAUUUUGCUUUGGUUAGAGAAUAUACUUUAUAAUUCUAAUUCUUUUAAAUUUAUUGAGACAUAGGGCUCUGCACAAGCUCUGUCUUGGUAAGUGUUUCAUGUGGAUUUGCUGUUACUGGCUGGAGAGCUCUUAGCGUUUGGUCAGGUGGUCAGGUGGUUGGUUGUGUUCAGUCCUGUGUAUCCUUAUCCUUCCUGAUUUUUGUGGAUUUGUUAUAUUCUCUCAUUGAGAGAAGAGGGGGUGUUGACGUCUCCGACUGUAUUUUUGGAUUUGAUUAUUUCUCUUUUCAAUUUAAUCAGUUUUUGUCUCAUGUACUUUUCUCUGAGUACAUACACGUUUAGGAUUGCUUUGUUCUGCUGAUGAAUUGUCCUGUUGUUGCAAAGUGACCUUCUAUCCAUGUUAAUAUUCUUUUCUCCCCCUGAAAUCUGCUUUGUUUGAUGGUAAUGUGAUUCCUCCAGCUUUCUUUUGAUUAGUGAUAGCAUGACACCUCUCUUUCCAUCUUUUUACCUUUAACCUGUCUGUCUUUGUAUUUAAAGUGAAAUUUUGGGGGCGCCUGGUGGCUCAGUCAGUUAAGUGUACGACUCUUGAUUUCGGCUCAGGUCAUGAUCUCCUGGUUUGUGAGUUUGACUUUGAGCCCCAAGUUGGCUUGUUGCUGACAGUGCGAAGUCUGCUGGAGAUGCUCUGUCUCCGUCCCUCUCUGCCCCUCCCCCACUUGUUCUCUCUCAAAAAUAAACAUUUAAAACAACGUUUAAAAUGAAAUUUGUGUAGAUAGCAUUUAAUUGGAUCUUGUUUUUAUUUACCCAGUCUGAUACUCUGUGCCUCUUAAUUUAAGUAUUUAGACCAGGGGUAGGCAAACUAUGCUUCGUGGGCCAAAUCUGGCUUGCUGUCUGUUUUGUAAAUAAACUGUCUUGGAACGUAGCCAUGCUUGUUAGUGCUCAUGGCUGCCUUUGUGUAUGAUGGUGGCACUGAGUAGUUGUGUGAGAGCCUGCAUGGCUGGCAGAGCCCUAGAUAUUUGUUAUCUGGCUUUUACUUUAGAAAAAGUUUCCAGCUCUUGUUCUUUAAUGUGGUUAUGGAUAUGGUUGGGUUCAAAUUGCCCAUGUCACUGUUUCUUUUUACUGUCUUCUCUGUGCUUCCUUUUUUAUUCUUCUGCUUUGUUUUGGAUUGAACAGUUUUUAUGAUUCCAUUUUAUCUCCCAUUAUUGGCUUAUUAGCUGUAUGUUUUUGUUUACCUUUUUUUUUUUUUAAGUUUAUUUGUUUUUGAGAGAGAGCGAGAGCAUGCGAGCAUGAGCACAAGCAGGGGAGGGGCAGAGAGGGAGGGAGACAGAGAAUCCCAAGCAGGCUUCGCACCGUUAGCAUGGAGCCUGAUGCAAGGCUUGAACUCACGAACUGUGAGAUCAUGACCUGAGCUGAAAUCAAGAGUCCGAUGCCUAAGCAACUGAGCCCCCCAGGCGCCCCUGUUUACCUUCUAAUAUAAUACUGCUCCACAUAUAAGAACCUUACAAAGGGUGUCUGGCUGGCACAGUUGGUAGAAAAUGUGACUUGAUCUCAGGGUUGUGAGUUCUAGUCCCACAUGGGGUAUAGAGAUUACUUAAUAAAUAAAGAUUAAAAGAAAAAAACAUCAAUACUAUGCUCUCAUUUCCCAUUCUAGCCUUUGUGUUAUUGUUGUCAUACAUUUUACUUGUACAUAUGUCAUCACCUCAGAAUACAUUAUUUCCAAUUUAAAUCUUUGUACGAAUUUGCACUUUUCUCUAGUUCUGAAUUGACUUGGUAAGCAGUGUAUUAGCAUAGGUACAUUUGAAGACAGCUACUAUAUUAUUAUCUGGCUUAACUAAUUCUUUUUUGUAUUACAAAUAAUCUUUAAUCAUUGUAAAAACAGCAGUGUAAAUUGGGAAAGUUAGAAAAUGGAGGUAAUCCUUUCUUUAGAAAAUAAAAUUUUAAAUGCCACAUUUCUGCCAUUCAGAGAUUACCGCUACUGACAUCUUAUUGUUUAGCCUUCUCUUUCUUUGUGCAAACACUUAUGUGAGUAGAGUCUUUACCACAGUGAGCUCUUAUUCUCUUACUGAUCAUGCUUUUUCAGUUUCCUGCAUCUUUCGGUGUUGUUAACGCUUGUCUUUCUCAUCUGAUACCUAGUCCACAUUCUGACUUCUCCAGUUUUCCUCCAGAUACGUUUUGUACUUGGUUUAUCUGACGCAGGAUUCAGUGUGAACACUGUUGCAUCUGGUUGUCCAGUUCUCACUAUCCCCAUCCCUCCCUCCGUCUCCUCACCCCCUUCUGUUGUGUUGGCCGCACCCUUGUCCACACUGUCCUCCCCAUACUGACUCUGGUGUCCUUGGUCAGGCACACACUUGGAGCUCCUACUUGAUACUCUCCCAGGAGCCUCCCAAGUGCUCACCCCUGACAGAAGACCAUGUUUGCUUAUGGAGCUUCUCUUUUUUGAAAAUUAUGGGGGCAGGGGGACGCCUGGGUGGCUCAGUCGUUUAAGUGUCCAACUUCGGCUCAGGUCAUAAUCUCAGGGUUCAUGAGUUCGAGAUCCUCCUUCCCCAUCUCCCUCUGCCCCACCCAUGCUUGUGCUGUCUCAAAAUAAACUUAAAAAAUAAAAAUCAUUAGUGGGAAAUCUCAUCUGUUUAUUUCUUAUAAAACUAUAGUUUUUAACUACAAUUUAAAACUUUAAUUUUUAGGGGUGUUUGGGUGGCUCAGUCGAUUAAGCGUCCAACUUGGGCUGAAGUCAUAAUCUUGCAGUUUGUGAGCUCGAGCCCCAACUCAGUCUCUAUGCUGACAGCUCGGAGCUCUGUGCUGACAGCUUCAGAUUCUGUGUCUCCUCUCUCUCUCUGCCUCUUCCCUGCUCAUUCUCUGUCUCUCUCAAAAAUAAAUGUUAAAAAAAUUUUUCACCCUGUGACCCAGCAAUUGCACUACUAGGUAUUUAUCCAAGGGACACAGGUAUACUGUUUCGAAGGGGCACGUGCAUGCCAAUGUUUACAGCAGCACUAUCACCGAUAGCCAAAGUAUGGAAAGAGCCCAAAUGUCCGUCACUGGAUGAAUGGAUAAAAGAGAUGUGGUAUAUAUACACAAUGGAGUAUUACUCGGCAAUCAAAAAGAAUGGAAUCUUGCCAUUUGCAACUACGUGGAUGGAAUUAGAGGGUAUUAUGCUAAGCGAAAUUAG
This is a long non-coding RNA of Neofelis nebulosa (Clouded leopard), 5199 nucleotides long. RefSeq lists it as uncharacterized. The record is from RefSeq and is a predicted model, not a curated record. The transcript has 2 exons. NCBI's taxonomy places the organism in Eukaryota, Metazoa, Chordata, Mammalia, Carnivora, Felidae.